Molecule: ribosomal RNA, 221 nt
Filed under: uncultured bacterium
Lineage: Bacteria
Description: partial 16S ribosomal RNA
Rfam family: Bacterial small subunit ribosomal RNA
Source: RNAcentral
GACGAACGCUGGCGGCGUGCUUAACACAUGCAAGUCGAGCGGUAAGGCCUUUCGGGGUACACGAGCGGCGAACGGGUGAGUAACACGUGGGCGACCUGCCCUCAGCUCUGGGGAUAAGACCUGGGAAACUGGGUCUAAUACCGGAUAUGGACCACGAUGUCGCAUGGUGUGUGGUGGAAAGUUUUUCGGCUGGGGAUGGGCCCGCGGCCUAUCAGCUUGUU